This 188-nucleotide ribosomal RNA is filed under the name uncultured bacterium. Its description in RNAcentral is "partial 16S ribosomal RNA". It matches the Rfam family "Bacterial small subunit ribosomal RNA", at positions 338 to 524 of the family's 1533-position model. The record is from RNAcentral.
CCUACGGGAGGCAGCAGUAGGGAAUAUUGGUCAAUGGGCGGAAGCCUGAACCAGCCAUGCCGCGUGCAGGAUGACGGCCUUCUGGGUUGUAAACUGCUUUUAUACAGGAAGAAAACGGUCAUGCGUGACAGAUUGACGGUACUGUAUGAAUAAGCACCGGCUAACUCCGUGCCAGCAGCCGCGGUAAU